RNAcentral lists this ribosomal RNA (375 nucleotides) under uncultured bacterium. RNAcentral describes it as "bacterial SSU rRNA". It matches the Rfam family "Bacterial small subunit ribosomal RNA", at positions 521 to 896 of the family's 1533-position model. The record is from RNAcentral.
UAAGACGAACCGUCCAAACGUUAUUCGGAAUCACUGGGCUUACAGAGUUCGUAGGCGGUCUGGAAAGUUGGGUGUGAAAUCCCUCGGCUCAACCGAGGAACUGCGCUCAAAACUACCCGACUCGAGGGAGAUAGAGGAAAGCGGAACUGAUGGUGGAGCGGUGAAAUGCGUUGAUAUCAUCAGGAACACCGGUGGCGAAGGCGGCUUUCUGGGUCUUACCUGACGCUGAGGAACGAAAGCUAGGGGAGCGAACGGGAUUAGAUACCCCGGUAGUCCUAGCCGUAAACGAUGAGCACUAGGUCGUGGGCCUCCACAGGCCCUCGGCCGUAGCGAAAGUGUUAAGUGCUCCGCCUGGGGAGUAUGGUCGCAAGGCUG